UGGCUCAGUGGUUAAGAGCACUGGCUGCUCUUUCAGAGAAUCUGGGUUCAAUUCCCAG
RNAcentral lists this transfer RNA (58 nucleotides) under Mus musculus (house mouse). It matches the Rfam family "tRNA", at positions 8 to 63 of the family's 71-position model. Rfam says of the family: Transfer RNA (tRNA) molecules are approximately 80 nucleotides in length. Their secondary structure includes four short double-helical elements and three loops (D, anti-codon, and T loops). Lineage: Eukaryota; Metazoa; Chordata; Mammalia; Rodentia; Muridae. RNAcentral also lists the same sequence under 1 other name. The record is from Rfam by way of RNAcentral.